Molecule: unclassified non-coding RNA, 648 nt
Filed under: uncultured Prochlorococcus sp.
Lineage: Bacteria; Bacillati; Cyanobacteriota; Cyanophyceae; Synechococcales; Prochlorococcaceae
Description: partial 16S-23S ribosomal RNA intergenic spacer; may also contain 16S ribosomal RNA and 23S ribosomal RNA
Rfam family: tRNA (bases 305-377)
Source: RNAcentral
UUGUGGAGGAGGACGCCGAAGGUGGGGCUAAUGACUGGGGUGAAGUCGUAACAAGGUAGCCGUACCGGAAGGUGCGGCUGGAUCACCUCCUAACAGGGAGACAACAAAAUGUUUAAUAUUAUUAUUUUGUCACCUUAGGUCGAUCGGUAUCUCACGUUCUUAAUUUGUUAAGAAUUUCAUUUCCUAAGUUUUUCUAGGUCACACCCAUUAUUUUUCCUGGGCCAUUAGCUCAGGUGGUUAGAGCGCACCCCUGAUAAGGGUGAGGUCCCUGGUUCAAGUCCAGGAUGGCCCAUAUCUCUAUGUUGGGGGUAUAGCUCAGUUGGUAGAGCGCCUGCUUUGCAAGCAGGAUGUCAGCGGUUCGAGUCCGCUUACCUCCACUGAUUACCACCUCUUCCAUAACUGGUAGAAAGGAAAUGUUUUGAGUUGUGAUUAUUAUUCUGAACGAAUCUAGCUUCCUAAUGAAAUCAUUAAGAUGCUGGACUCAUUGAAUUAAUUUCAUUGUUUUCAGAGAACCUUGACAACUGCAUAGAUUUUUUUUAAAGACAAUAAGCAUCUUUAAUGAUGCAGAUUUAUUAUUUGUGCGAAUGCAUUAAUAACAAUUCUAUUAAGCUGAUGCUUCAAUUUUUGAAGUUAUUGGUCAAGCUACAA